GUUACUCUUGCAUUGACGCACCUUUAAAAUUGCAUAAAAAGAGUAAUUUAUCAUUUUAAGAAAUUUAUUUUAUUAAAUACAUGUUGUUGACGCAUAAAUCUGGUCGAUAGUGUUGCAAUCAGGUAUUCACGCCAACACUAAAUUUGUAUUAAUGGGAAUGACAUCAACUUGCACUUCCUUUGCACGAGAUGAUACUUGCAACCACGAGCACCUCCUACAAAACUCACCUGCACCCACAAAGAACAUUUAGGGGGAUGCCAAAUGUUUUUUGGACAGGAACUCUUUGACGCUUAAGUCAAUAAUCGAGCAUUUUUUGAAAAAAAAUUGUGCCCACAAUUCAUGUGGCUUAAUUAUAAUAAUUGUUUCUUCUUUAAACAACAAAGCUUUUAGGUGGAAACUAGAGAAAACUGAGAAAAUUUUAGAGAGAAAAGGGAAAUUAGUGGUAGAGAGAGAGGAAAAAAAAAACUUACCUGGUUUGAAUUUUGUAAGGGUUUUUAUAGAACUUGAAAACCCACGACUUUGGACUAAGGAAAUAGCCGUUAAUGGUUUGGGAUCGUGCCCUGAUUUUUCCAAGUAAAUCCACGAGUUGACUCUUGACCGACUCUCUGAAUUGACUUGGUUUAAGUCUCUUCCUACAUGAUUCUUACGCAAUCACAUUUACCAACCAAGCUGCCCACUUCUUGAUACCCCAAGCAAAUUGUUUGCAUCCACACCCUGAGGAGGCUCUCGGCCGUUUCUAAUGUCGAGGAGAGCAUGAUUUGCCCGGAAUCGUGUCCAAUAAUGCUCCCUCUUUCAUCCCUCAAACACAUGUAUUUUGUUUAGAGCGACAUUCUUGAUAUUGCAUUAGUUUUAUAUAUGCAUUCAGAGAAACGCAUAUAAUAAAUUUAUAAUUUAACUGGUCUGAUCAAUGAUCUUGG
RNAcentral lists this long non-coding RNA (917 nucleotides) under Citrus x clementina. Its description in RNAcentral is "Citrus clementina (C. clementina) long non-coding RNA (CCLE_LNC003070)". Lineage: Eukaryota; Viridiplantae; Streptophyta; Magnoliopsida; Sapindales; Rutaceae. The record is from RNAcentral.